GAUCAUUAACGAGUAAAGUCCUUUGGGACUUUCUUAUCCAAAACACCUGUGAAAAUUAAUUUUUUGCUUUGGGAAUUUAAUUAUUCCCAACAAUCAAAACCACUAAGUUGUCUUUUGUCUGAAUGAUUAUUUAAAAAAUCAAAACUUUCAACAACGGAUCUCUUGGUUCUCGCAUCGAUGAAGAACGCAGCGAAACGCGAUAUGUAAUGUGAAUUGCAGACUUUGUGAAUCAUCGAAUCUUUGAACGCACAUUGCGCCCUCUGGUAUUCCGGAGGGCAUACCUGUUUGAGCGUCAGUUCUCUCUCAAAAAAGAUUUUUUUUUUUUUUUUGGUAUUGCUCGUACUUGUUUUAAAGUUGAGUGAAAUGAAUUGGCAAGGCAGUUUUCUAGCUAUCAACGUAUUAGGUUUUACCAUUUCGUUGGAAGAGCAAAAAGACAAGCCGGGCGAUAUAACUGGGUUACCCAAAAUAUU
RNAcentral lists this unclassified non-coding RNA (470 nucleotides) under Sugiyamaella paludigena. RNAcentral describes it as "sequence contains 18S rRNA gene, ITS1, 5.8S rRNA gene, ITS2, 28S rRNA gene". The stretch from base 143 to 295 matches the Rfam family "5.8S ribosomal RNA". The record is from RNAcentral. Lineage: Eukaryota; Fungi; Ascomycota; Dipodascomycetes; Dipodascales; Trichomonascaceae.